Molecule: ribosomal RNA, 350 nt
Filed under: Staphylococcus aureus
Lineage: Bacteria; Bacillati; Bacillota; Bacilli; Caryophanales; Staphylococcaceae
Description: bacterial SSU rRNA
Rfam family: Bacterial small subunit ribosomal RNA
Source: RNAcentral
UGCAUUAGCUAGUUGGUAAGGUAACGGCUUACCAAGGCAACGAUGCAUAGCCGACCUGAGAGGGUGAUCGGCCACACUGGAACUGAGACACGGUCCAGACUCCUACGGGAGGCAGCAGUAGGGAAUCUUCCGCAAUGGGCGAAAGCCUGACGGAGCAACGCCGCGUGAGUGAUGAAGGUCUUCGGAUCGUAAAACUCUGUUAUUAGGGAAGAACAUAUGUGUAAGUAACUGUGCACAUCUUGACGGUACCUAAUCAGAAAGCCACGGCUAACUACGUGCCAGCAGCCGCGGUAAUACGUAGGUGGCAAGCGUUAUCCGGAAUUAUUGGGCGUAAAGCGCGCGUAGGCGGU